Molecule: ribosomal RNA, 600 nt
Filed under: uncultured bacterium
Lineage: Bacteria
Description: bacterial SSU rRNA
Rfam family: Bacterial small subunit ribosomal RNA
Source: RNAcentral
CUUAAAUGAAUUGACGGGGACCCGCACAAGCGGUGGAGCAUGUGGUCUAAUUCGAAGCAACGCGAAGAACCUUACCAGGUCUUGACAUCCUUUGACAAUCCUAGAGAUAGGACUUUCCCUUCGGGGACAAAGUGACAGGUGGUGCAUGGUUGUCGUCAGCUCGUGUCGUGAGAUGUUGGGUUAAGUCCCGCAACGAGCGCAACCCCUAUUGUUAGUUGCCAGCAUUCAGUUGGGCACUCUAAUGAGACUGCCGGUGACAAACCGGAGGAAGGUGGGGAUGACGUCAAAUCAUCAUGCCCCUUAUGACCUGGGCUACACACGUGCUACAAUGGAUGGUACAACGAGCAGCAAGACCGCGAGGUCAAGCGAAUCUCUUAAAGCCAUUCUCAGUUCGGAUUGCAGGCUGCAACUCGCCUGCAUGAAGCCGGAAUCGCUAGUAAUCGCGGAUCAGCACGCCGCGGUGAAUACGUUCCCGGGUCUUGUACACACCGCCCGUCACACCACGAGAGUUUGUAACACCCGAAGUCGGUGAGGUAACCUUUAUGGAGCCAGCCGCCUAAGGUGGGACAGAUGAUUGGGGUGAAGUCGUAACAAGGUAGC